GAUGAAGAACGCAGCGAAAUGCGAUAAGUAAUGUGAAUUGCAGAAUUCAGUGAAUCAUCGAAUCUUUGAACGCACAUUGCGCCCGCCAGUAUUCUGGCGGGCAUGCCUGUCCGAGCGUCAUUUCAACCCUCGAACCCCUCCGGGGGGUCGGCGUUGGGGAUCGGCCCUUUACGGGGCCGGCCCCGAAAUACAGUGGCGGUCUCGCCGCAGCCUCUCCUGCGCAGUAGUUUGCACACUCGCAUCGGGAGCGCGGCGCGUCCACAGCCGUUAAACACCCCAAACUUCUGAAAUGUUGACCUCGGAUCAGGUAGGAAUACCCGCUGAACUUAAGCAUAUCAUAAGCGGAGGA
This 349-nucleotide unclassified non-coding RNA is filed under the name soil metagenome. RNAcentral describes it as "partial contains 5.8S ribosomal RNA, internal transcribed spacer 2, and large subunit ribosomal RNA". The stretch from base 1 to 120 matches the Rfam family "5.8S ribosomal RNA", at positions 35 to 154 of the family's 154-position model. The record is from RNAcentral.